Molecule: long non-coding RNA, 1038 nt
Filed under: Heterocephalus glaber (naked mole-rat)
Lineage: Eukaryota; Metazoa; Chordata; Mammalia; Rodentia; Bathyergidae
Description: lncRNA (ENSHGLG00000044583.1)
Source: RNAcentral
UUUAAGGGACGUUGUUUUGCGGAACUGGGGAAUCACCCUGCAAUGCAUCCCCAGGCCGGGAGCUGUUUUUCUGGUCCAGUGGACUGCUGGUAGUCGUAUCUGCUGAGAAGAGACAGCGCCGCCUGGAGGAGCUCCGGGGCGGGCGGGCGCCUCGUGAGACCGGAAGGGGGCCACGAGUUGCACAAGAUUGCUGUGCUGCAAUGUGCUAUGAUUUACUUUUCUCUAACAAACAAGAGAAGAAUUACAGGACUUUGAGAGCUGAGAUGGAGGAAGAAACCAGGAAAAAAUGGAAAUGCUUAUACUUCUUCAUUUUGACAUGGUUCCUUCAGAAAUCUGAUACUAAGUAUCUUUCUGCAUCUGGAGGAGGGAAGAAAGAGACCAUCCAGGCAUUCUGUACAUAAUGUUGAAAUAAAACCCUCUAUUGUCCACCAAGACAAUAGGGCUAGUCUAUAAUAAUGUAGUACAAGUAGGGCAUAAAUGACAUAAGCCAGCAAUGCAAUCUUUGUUCUGGUGUAAUCUUCCAUAUCAACCAUCUACACUCCCAGAGCUAGGAGAAUGGCCUUUCUCCCAUUUCCCAUAACUCGCUACCACUUCCCUCCCCUUGCUCUAUAGAAAGUAGUGUAACAGGGCUCCCCUUUGGGAUGACUAACCAUGUUUGACAACAUAGGAGCUAACCUAAAUCUUGGUCAAAAUCUCACACCAAGCCAAAACUGCGCACAUAAACAAAAUUAGUCAGCUUUGUUUGUUUAAAGUUUGCAGAAAGUGUUCACUUUGGUGGGAAGAGAUGUGGGAAUAUUAAAAGCUAUAGGAUCUUCACUGCAAAAGCACCACUUAGAAAGAGCAUUUCAGCUUCUGUGGAGAAAGAGAACAUGUUUAUAUGGGAACAAAGAUAAGGAAAUAAUGCAUUAUGAAAACAAAGGAAAACAUAGAAGUACUGGGAGAAAGCCAGAAGCCCUGGUGAAGUUACUGCAGCAGCAGGAGCUUCACCACUGCCUGGUACCUGAGUGAGGCCAGGGAAGUCAUUGACCUUGUGGGAAG